CGGACGGGUGAGUAACGCGUGGGGAACCUGCCCUGUACAGGGGGAUAACACUUAGAAAUAGGUGCUAAUACCGCAUAAGCGCACAGUAUCGCAUGAUACAGUGUGAAAAACUCCGGUGGUACAGGAUGGACCCGCGUCUGACUAGCUGGUUGGCGGGGUAACGGCCCACCAAGGCGACGAUCAGUAGCCGGCCUGAGAGGGUGAACGGCCACAUUGGGACUGAGACACGGCCCAAACUCCUACGGAAGGCAGCAG
Molecule: ribosomal RNA, 255 nt
Filed under: uncultured bacterium
Lineage: Bacteria
Description: partial 16S ribosomal RNA
Rfam family: Bacterial small subunit ribosomal RNA
Source: RNAcentral